CUAGCUGAAGAGGCUAAAUUUGCCUCUUUGAUCCGUAGGAUAGAGGCUCUAGAACUCAAGGAACACACCCAAGUGAAUCAAGUUGCAACAACAACUUGCAAUGGGUGUAAUGCCACAGACCACACAAUGGAAGGAUGUCCUUUCUUGAUGGGUCCAGUCGAGAACAAAGUAGCACAGGUGAACGCAGCCUAUCAAAGACCCACAAAUGAC
This 210-nucleotide long non-coding RNA is filed under the name Elaeis guineensis (African oil palm). RNAcentral's name for it is "long non-coding RNA (EGUI_LNC060376)". Lineage: Eukaryota; Viridiplantae; Streptophyta; Magnoliopsida; Arecales; Arecaceae. The record is from RNAcentral.